Molecule: transfer RNA, 60 nt
Filed under: Vibrio cholerae HC-50A1
Lineage: Bacteria; Pseudomonadati; Pseudomonadota; Gammaproteobacteria; Vibrionales; Vibrionaceae
Also listed under: 1 other name
Description: partial tRNA-Arg
Rfam family: tRNA
About the family: Transfer RNA (tRNA) molecules are approximately 80 nucleotides in length. Their secondary structure includes four short double-helical elements and three loops (D, anti-codon, and T loops).
Source: RNAcentral
GCGCUCGUAGCUCAGCUGGAUAGAGUACCUGGCUACGAACCAGGCGGUCAGAGGUUCGAA